Molecule: ribosomal RNA, 426 nt
Filed under: uncultured bacterium
Lineage: Bacteria
Description: bacterial SSU rRNA
Rfam family: Bacterial small subunit ribosomal RNA
Source: RNAcentral
AGGGAAUCUUCCGCAAUGGACGAAAGUCUGACGGAGCAACGCCGCGUGAGUGAUGAAGGUUUUCGGAUCGUAAAACUCUGUUGUUAGGGAAGAACAAGUACCGUUCGAAUAGGGCGGCACCUUGACGGUACCUAACCAGAAAGCCACGGCUAACUACGUGCCAGCAGCCGCGGUAAUACGUAGGUGGCAAGCGUUGUCCGGAAUUAUUGGGCGUAAAGCGCGCGCAGGCGGUCUUUUAAGUCUGAUGUGAAAGCCCACGGCUCAACCGUGGAGGGUCAUUGGAAACUGGGAGGCUUGAGUGCAGAAGAGGAGAGUGGAAUUCCACAUGUAGCGGUGAAAUGCGUAGAGAUGUGGAGGAACACCAGUGGCGAAGGCGGCUCUCUGGUCUGUAACUGACGCUGAGGCGCGAAAGCGUGGGGAGCAAAC